AUUGAACGCUGGCGGCAUGCUUUACACAUGCAAGUCGAACGGCAGCGCGGGCUUCGGCCUGGCGGCGAGUGGCGAACGGGUGAGUAAUGCAUCGGAACGUGCCCAGUAGUGGGGGAUAGCCCGGCGAAAGCCGGAUUAAUACCGCAUACGACCUGAGGGUGAAAGCGGGGGAGCGAAAGGCCGCGCGCUAUGGGAGCGGCCGAUGGCGGAGUAGCUAGUUGGUGGGGUAAAGGCUUACCAAGGCGAAGAUCCGUAGCUGGUCUGAGAGGACGACCAGCCACACUGGGACUUAGACACGGCCCAGACUCCUACGGGAGGCAGCAGUGGGGAAUUUUGGACAAUGGGGGCAACCCUGAUCCAGCCAUGCCGCGUGCGGGAAGAAGGCCUUCGGGUUGUAAACCGCUUUUGUUCGGGAAGAAAUCCUCUGGGCUAAUACCCCGGGGGAAUGACGGUACCGGAAGAAUAAGCACCGGCUAACUACGUG
RNAcentral lists this ribosomal RNA (484 nucleotides) under uncultured bacterium. RNAcentral describes it as "partial 16S ribosomal RNA". It matches the Rfam family "Bacterial small subunit ribosomal RNA", at positions 29 to 507 of the family's 1533-position model. The record is from RNAcentral.